UUUUAAAAACAUUUUCUUUUAAAUAGAAAACAUUUUAAAAUUAAAAAAAGUUUUUAUAAAAAAAAGAAAAUUCAUAUUAGUUUUAACUUGGUGUAAAAAGUUUGUUUGAUUAAAAAAAAUUAAAAAAGAAUUUUAAUUUUUGUUUAGUUAAUUGUUUCUACUGCAUUUACAAUUUGUUAUACUCAAUGUGUAAUAUUUUGAGAUUUAUUCGCAUUUUAUAUAGUUUUUAAAAUUUUGCAAUUUUAAAGUAAAUUAAAAAAAAAAAAGAAAAUUAUAAAAGUGUUACUACGAACUGAGUAUGAUUUGGGAAUAGUAUUUAAUUAUUUUUGAAAUUUCAAGAUUUAGAGGCCGAAGAAGACGACAUCGCCUUGGCGAUGUCACCGACUAAUAGACAAAUAGCCAAGACACCAACACCACGCGAUAUCAGCGAAAAUCCCGAUGAACGUGAAACAUGGAGCGGCAAAGUCGAUUUCCUGCUAUCCGUUAUAGGAUUCGCUGUAGAUUUAGCAAACGUAUGGCGAUUUCCUUAUUUAUGCUACAAAAAUGGCGGUGGUAAGUACUUAUUUCCCCUUUACACUUUUCCCCAACCAUUUUUUAAAGGAAAUGGUUAUGUUUUCUAUAAGAUGUGUGUAAGGCAUUUUGACCACCGCAACAAUCAUAAGCUAUGUUGUAUUAAGGGAAUGUAGUAUAUCAGCAUCAACAACAAAAGCUAAUUUGGGGCACUUGUCAGCUUAAUGCCACAGUGAGCACAAUUAGAAUUAUAAAACAAUUUACGCAUGAAGA
RNAcentral lists this unclassified non-coding RNA (783 nucleotides) under Lucilia cuprina (Australian sheep blowfly). Its description in RNAcentral is "sodium-dependent dopamine transporter-like, transcript variant X2". Lineage: Eukaryota; Metazoa; Arthropoda; Insecta; Diptera; Calliphoridae. The record is from RNAcentral.